RNAcentral lists this ribosomal RNA (494 nucleotides) under uncultured bacterium. RNAcentral describes it as "partial 16S ribosomal RNA". It matches the Rfam family "Bacterial small subunit ribosomal RNA", at positions 28 to 507 of the family's 1533-position model. The record is from RNAcentral.
GACGAACGCUGGCGGCGUGCUUAACACAUGCAAGUCGAACGGUGAAGCGCCUUCCUUUUUGGUGGGUGUGGUUGAGUGGCGAACGGGUGAGUAACACGUGAGUAACCUGCCCCCUUCUUCUGGUUAACCGCAUGAAAGUGUGGAUAAUACGGGAUCUUCUGGGUCUGUCGCAUGAUGGGUCUGGGUCAGAUAUUGUUUCGGUGGGGGAUGGGCGUCCGGCCUAUCAGCUUGUUGGUGGGGUGAUGGCCUAGGAAGGCGGUGAGGGGUGGCCGGCCUGGGAGGGUAGACGGUCACACUGGGACUGAGGCACGGCCCAGACUCCUACGCGGGGCAGCAGUGGGGGGUAGUGCGCAGUGGGCGAAAGCCUGAUGCAGCGACGCCGCGUGAGGAAUGGAGGCCUUCGGGUUGUGAACGUCUUUCGCCAGUGAAGCGGGCCUGCCUCGGUUGUAGGUGGGUUGACGGUAGCUGGAUAAGAAGCGCCGGCUAACUACGUG